GACAAAGGGCAGAGAGGAGGCCGCGGGCUGGAGGCUGAGCCACUCUGCCCUCCUCUCCCACCUUUCCUGGGGCCUGGCCACCCGAAGUGGAUCAGCGCUGCUGUCCUGCAGAAGGUGCUGUGCUGGCUGGGGUCCUCUGAACCUGCAAUUUCCUGGGAUGUCACCCGUGGUGCCUCCUCCGUGAGCCUUACUGAGGGUCCAGGCCUUCCAGGAGCCUCGGUCUGGGAGGGAAGCAGCUGCCGUGGCCACUCAGGGUAGGCAAAGCCAGAGCUGUGGCAUGAAGAGCCAGGGCACAGCCCGGAUCAAGGCCUUGGAGCAGAGAAAGCCAGGUGCCACCAUGUGACAGGUAGGGGCGGAGGCAGGUGGACCGCUUUGCACCACUGCCCUGGGAGAUUGGGCCCUGUCUACCGAAGUCCACGGAGAAGACUGGUGUCUCCUGCCCUUUCACAGACACAGAAGCUGGGGCACAGGGUGGGAAGCCAGGGCCCUGGCCGUCACCCCAGACGCCUGUCCCAGCGAGGAAGGUGGGAGCUGGCGGGCAGCAGGCUGGCUGCGGAGGGUGGACCUGGCAGGUCUGCUCCCAGAGCCACUGCUUCUUGUUCUGGAAAACAGCCUACUCUCUCGGAAGGAAGUAGCAUGACCCCUGCUGGGGUGUGGUUGCUGCCACUCUCGAGCACCCCAGGACCUGUCCCCCAACUCUCAGGCUGGGACCAUCAGGCUGGGCAGGUGGGGUGCCAGUGAGGGUGGAGGGGCCCGCGAGGCCCAGCAGGCAGGAAGGCAGGUGCCCUGAACAGGCGAUUCUGGUGUCAGUGAGACCCCAGAGGCCGCCAGGGUGGCCCAGCCCAGCGUCCCCAAAGCCCAGGGACAAUCACGUCCCACUCACCUGGGGUCAUUGCAGGGGUGACACGGAGAGGUUGCCCUCUACCACUUUCCUUCUAUGGGGUGGACGCCAUUCUGGGGUUCAGGUCUGUGGUGUGAGGCCCAGCUGAUGGCCCUGGCAAUGUCAGCUCCUCCUCUGGCCACCAGGAAAGGAGAUUCUGAAGUGGGCCACAGACUGCCUUGAGGAUGAGCCGCUAGGAGGAGGGUGUGGCAUCUGGGCAGGGACGGCCGCCUUAUGAGUGCAGAGGUGUGGGUGGGGGCCUCUCCUGGGGUGGCAGGGAACUCUCAGGCACAGAGCCGGCUGGAUGCUGGUUUAGCCUCACCAGAGCCCAAGGUGGCAGAGGGGCUGGUGCAGUCUCUGGCCUGGCCAGGAGAGGGCACGCAUGGCCUGCUUCUCCUCCUGGACCUUGCUGCUCCUUUCUCCUCCUGGAGCUGACUGAGCGCACAGGACUCUUGAGGGACUGGGUUUUGUUUCUCACAGAUCUGGAGGCCUGGAAGAACCAGACUGUGCCUGGCACCCAUCAAGGGCCUGGAUGAGGAGCACUGCAGGACGAGGGUCGGGAGGGCUGGGUUCUCCAUGGCAGCAGAGGAGGGGAGGAGCCGUCGCUCUCUCCCCAGACAGCAGCCUGGGCCCUCAUCCUCCAGGACAGUGCCGUCCCAGACCCUGCCCUGCCAAGAGGACGUAGCUGGCACUGCCGGCCACCUCCUGGUGUGCCUGCUCCUGCUCCUGUCCCCAUCCUCUUCCGCCUCCUGCUGUUCUUUAUAAGGACCCCCCCAGCUCCCUGGGGACAGAACAUGUGUGGCUCUGUUCGGGUGACAGCUGUUUCCAUGCUGAGAAGCAUCUUGCUCCUGUCGCUUAUCCUCCACGUUGGACAUCCCUGCUUUGGCCCAUUUCUCAGCCUUGUCACUGGCAGGUGGCAGCCAGGAUGGAGCCACCUGGGUCAGGACGCUGGGACCAGUUCUCUGGGCAGGUGUUGGCCACGGGGAAGGUCCCAGGACCACAGUGCUGUCUGCCAGCACAGUGGCCCUGUGAAUGAAGAGGGAGCAGAGAGAUCUGAGACAGGCAGCUUCUGGAGGAGCUGGUCCUGGGCAGGGACGUCGGACUGCCUCGCCCUCUCCUUGUGAGCACGCCUCCUGUCCCUGCCAGGGAGUUACAGGCUGCAGACCUGUGUGCACCAGACGGAGGACAGGGACUACACGACCCCACGCUGCAAGCUGCAGGGACUGUUUCAGGCCCAGCUCCGGGAAGAGUCAAAGACCCCAAGCUUCUUGCGCAGCCGCUCGGUGUGACCCCUGCUGUCCUCUGUGAGGUCUCAGGAGCCCCUGACACCACUGGGCCAAGCCUGAUGCUCCGUGUCUGGCAGUUUCUGAGCUGACCCUGGAGAAGGUGGUCCUCUGUUCUCAGGCUGUGACCCCCAAACUGCGUGUUUCCUGCCUAGGGUGGCGGCCAGGCCUGCUGUGGAGGGAGAGUGGAGCCUCACCCCUCUGCAGCCCCCAAGCUCCUGUACUGCCCUGCACCCCUGCUGCCUGCAGGCCUCCACCUGGGACCCAGAGCCUUUGCCUUCCCUUCCCUCGCUCCCGCAGUCCCUCCACUUGGUGGUUCAU
Molecule: RNA transcript, 2484 nt
Organism: Fukomys damarensis (Damara mole-rat)
Lineage: Eukaryota; Metazoa; Chordata; Mammalia; Rodentia; Bathyergidae
Exons: 6
Source: RefSeq, a predicted model, not a curated record